This 1139-nucleotide long non-coding RNA is filed under the name Pan troglodytes (chimpanzee). RNAcentral's name for it is "long non-coding RNA NONPTRT015118". The record is from RNAcentral. Lineage: Eukaryota; Metazoa; Chordata; Mammalia; Primates; Hominidae.
CUGACGGACACUUGGGUUGUUUCUACUUUGGGUUGUCAUGAACAGGGCUGCCUGGAACAUGGGAGGACUUGUGUGAGUCCCAGCUUUCAGCUCUCUCGAGUGUAUGCCUAGCAGUGGCAUUGCUGGGUCACGUGGUAAUUCCUUUUGGAGUUUUUGACAAGCCAGCAGAGGGUCUACCAGAGCGGCCGUGCCGUUUCACAUUCCCGCCAGCGACACGCAAGCGUUCCAGCCUCUCCACAUCCUCGCUGGCACUUUCCACUCUUCGAUUAUCGCCAACCUUCUGAUGUGAAUAGCCAGACUUCUUGCGCGUCAGCCCGUGUUAAGGCUCAUGUCACCUGAGAGCACCAGAUGGGUCUUCUCACGCGACUUUCAGAUGUGGCCUCAUGGACGGGAAGGUCACCUCCACCACACACGCUCCUGCCCGUGUCCAAGGGGAGAGGCUCCGCUUUUCCACGGGAGGAGCGCCAGAAUUGAGGGAAAGAACAUGUUUAACAAUCACGACAUCUCCACAACAUUUCUCAUUCGCUCUCUGACCAGUGCCACUCAACGUGUCAUCUCGUCACAAGACAAAGAGCUUAUACCAGAAGAGACAUCAGCAUGCUGCCCCUUCGUCAGGACAGUCUUGUCAGCUGACCCAACUGCGCUGCCUCUCAGGGUCCUGGGACACAGCGAAAGACCCCAGGAGUGUGGUGCGCUUCUGAUUGUGCGGCACUGUCGAGCGUGUUCCUGACAAGAGCGAAUGUCUGUAUCGAGCAGGUAUUGAUGAGAAUCAAGUCUUCCUGGUUUAUAUUCACACACCUGCUGGUGGGAAGAAUUUUCCACAGACUUCCGGCUCCACAUAUAUCAAGCCUCAUCUCUUCUCCACAACCGGUACUCCCUGUUCCAGGUCCCGUAGGACACGUUCCUAUCACAGUACAACCGUGGCCUUGCUCCUUCUGGUUACGACACCAGGUGUCAGGCAGUGGACAAGAAGCAUGUUCUUGAAGCCAGCCCUACCCCAGGAUGACUGGCAAUGACCUACUAAAUGCAGAAGUGACUGUGAACGCACAAAUAUAUCCCACUAACCUCAAACGAAUCGUGUCCCUAACUCUGCUUACCCUUAGCCAGAACCCAAAAGUACCAUGUGGCCUCAACAUCAC